CUGAAAAUAUACAACCCACAAGCCAGGAGAGAAAGGCAUUGUCAGAAGCAAACAUGCCGCCACCUUCGUCUGGUUGAACAGGACAUGGUCACAUCGAUGAAAAUAAACACCACCUAUAAAUAUGUUAGUUCUCUGCUGGUUUUAGUCUACAUUUGACACUCACGUGUAUUCCAGGAUAGCUCCGCUCAUUUUUUUACAAAAGAGUGACAAAGCAAAGAUGAAGAGAGGCCAGAAAAUUAAACUGGUGACCGAACGAUCUGGCAAGUGGCCAAGUGAAUAGAGAGUCCAAAAUGAAAGCAGAAGAGAAAAACAACAACAAACGCUGGAAGGGUGAUCUGGUGGACGUCUAUUAAACUAUUACAGAUGUGGACCGAAUCACUCUGUACUGGUUCCACAGAUCUCAAGUAGCAGCCCUGAACACAUCACCCUGAAUUCUAAAGGCGGAAAUAGGAAUAAUCAAGUACACACUGAUGUCUAAUAGACAAAGCGACAACUCAUCGGGACCGAGCUUUCUUUCCUCUGAUUCACAACAGUCCUGAAAUUAAGAUUUAAAGAACCUCACUGAGGUUGCAGAGCUGGCCUAUCUGAACAUAAAUAAUAAGACCUAACACCUGUUGGGCUUUUACCAUAUGCUAGAUAUUUUGCUGAGCAUUUUUGUCCCUUAUUUUGCCCCCUAAUUCUUUGAACCCUUACUAUCUGUUUUAUACUGUGAGGAAGCUUACUCUUAUAAACGUCCAUGUGAAUGUCUCCAAAUUACACAGCUAGUGAGUAAUGGAAGGAAUUUUGGAAGCCAAGCCAUCUGAUUCCAAUAUUCACAAGGAUCCAGCCAAUGACUCCCAAAACCCCUACUCCAUUUCCUUUAGUGGAUGUAGAAACUCAUAUGUAUGCAUCCCUCCCCCCAAAAAAGAGAAAAGGAUUUGAUUUUUAUCAACACACAGUAAGUGACAACUCUGAGAUUAAUAUUUGAAUAAGUCUCUGGUUCUUUCCACUAAACUAUGAUUAUUUUAUUUUGAAGACAAAUAGGGAAAUUUUUUAGCAUAGCAGGACUUCUUAACACAAAAGUAAUGGGUUAAGCUAAAAUAUUCAGUAGUUGCAAAAUGUGCAUUAAUAUUUAACAAGGAAAAUUGUGCCUUUGGCAUUCAUUCAUGACCUUUGACAGGAACAUCAAGUACAAAUGCUUUGCCCCCUCACACCCUAACCUCUUAAUAGACAAAGUGUUGAUCGGCUAGUUAGCAAGACUAGUACACAAGUCAUUCUCACAGCUUUAGAGAAAAAAUACUCAAAUCGCACAGAGAGAGAGAGAGAGAGAGAGAGAGAGAGAGAGAGAGAGAGAGAGAGAGGUGGGGCAAUAGGGUUAGCAGAACACCAGGCCCAGCAACAAGCCCUAAAUCUAUAAAAUGGCGAUCUUUCAUUGGACUAUGGCUAUGAGGUUUCUCUAGGGAAAGAAAAGAAAAUAUAAAAUAUAGAGCCCAGUGUGUCUUGAAGGACAAGGCUUUCCUUAAGACAUGUACCCAUGCUUACUGUGUACACUUGGACAAUAUCUCUCCUCUGACUUCUGAGAACGGCAAGAGUCAAGGUUACUCUCCAACUCUCCACUUUCUCUAUAUUAACUUUCUUACAAAUUGUAAUUUCUCCCUCCUCAUAUUCAAAUGGACAAUGGAAUUACAGAAGAUUUGCAUACCCAGAAGAAUCUAAUAACUAUAACAGAUUAAGCAAAACGGGGUGCUUUCAUCUAUAGAUUUGGCAUGCGACUGUGGAAAACGUCAAGUGCAAAGACUUUGGCUUCUCCUCAGUCAUAUCACAGGGUAAGCACUCCUAGCUUCCAUCACUUGCAAGUCUACAGCAUGUCAGGAUCCUUUGUUAAAUCACUUAACCCAAAGCACAUUGCUGGAGGUGUUCCCCAGAAUCUCUCCAGCCAACAUGAUGAAUCCCCACGGUUCCCCCACCUAAGAAUUGUUUUCAAUAAACUGGAGCCACAUGACUGAAAAAAAAAUAAGCUUGCUACCUGGAGAUGACAUCCAUCAUUCAUAACACGACAAGAGAGCUUCUGCAUGGAGAAUACAACUGGACGAAAAGAAAGAGCUCCUGCUCAACAACAGAUGUACCUAAGCAUCUGCAUCCCCGCACAGCCUUUCCCAAUUAAGUGUGCCUCCAGAGACUCAGAAAAAACCUCAAUCAACAUUCCUUCAGCAAGGCCAAAUCCCCGCCAAAGAGCGACAAGCAGUCACUGGCCAGAGCUAGAUCUCCAACUCUGCUUUUCUCAUCAACUACACCUGUGCCUGAGCCCUUGCCCUCUCCCCAGUGAUGGGAACCAGAGAAGGAACACACAGGACUCAAGGACAUUGGUGCUCUCUCACCCUUGCUAGUCAAUCCCUUGGAAUCUUUUCACUUAAAAAUUCAUUUAUUAAACUCUGUGGACCAGACUCUAUGACAACCCUUUCACUUAUAAAAACCUAAGUGAAGUUACCAUC
Non-coding RNA from Rattus norvegicus (Norway rat), 2471 nucleotides. The record is from RefSeq and is a predicted model, not a curated record. NCBI's taxonomy places the organism in Eukaryota, Metazoa, Chordata, Mammalia, Rodentia, Muridae.